UGCCAGCCGCCGCGGUAAUACGGAGGGUGCAAGCGUUGUCCGGAUUCACUGGGUUUAAAGGGUGCGUAGGCGGAUUAAUAAGUCAGUGGUGAAAUCCUACAGCUUAACUGUAGAACUGCCAUUGAUACUGUUAAUCUUGAGUCCAGUCGAGGUGGAUGGAAUUUAUGAUGUAGCGGUGAAAUGCAUAGAUAUCAUAAAGAACACCAAUUGCGAAGGCAGUUCACUAGACUGGUACUGACGCUCAGGCACGAAAGCGUGGGGAGCGAACAGGAUUAGAUA
This 279-nucleotide ribosomal RNA is filed under the name uncultured bacterium. Its description in RNAcentral is "partial 16S ribosomal RNA". It matches the Rfam family "Bacterial small subunit ribosomal RNA", at positions 506 to 784 of the family's 1533-position model. The record is from RNAcentral.